This 540-nucleotide ribosomal RNA is filed under the name uncultured bacterium. RNAcentral's name for it is "bacterial SSU rRNA". It matches the Rfam family "Bacterial small subunit ribosomal RNA", at positions 355 to 896 of the family's 1533-position model. The record is from RNAcentral.
UGAGGAAUAUUGGUCAAUGGACGGAAGUCUGAACCAGCCAAGUAGCGUGCAGGAAGACGGCCCUAUGGGUUGUAAACUGCUUUUGUAUGGGGAUAAAGUCAAUCACGUGUGAUUGUUUGCAGGUACCAUACGAAUAAGGACCGGCUAAUUCCGUGCCAGCAGCCGCGGUAAUACGGAAGGUUCGGGCGUUAUCCGGAUUUAUUGGGUUUAAAGGGAGCGUAGGCUGGAGAUUAAGUGUGUUGUGAAAUGUAGACGCUCAACGUCUGAAUUGCAGCGCAUACUGGUUUCCUUGAGUACGCACAACGUUGGCGGAAUUCGUCGUGUAGCGGUGAAAUGCUUAGAUAUGACGAAGAACUCCGAUUGCGAAGGCAGCUGACGGGAGCGCAACUGACGCUUAAGCUCGAAGGUGCGGGUAUCAAACAGGAUUAGAUACCCUGGUAGUCCGCACAGUAAACGAUGGAUGCCCGCUGUUGGUACCUGGUAUCAGCGGCUAAGCGAAAGCAUUAAGCAUCCCACCUGGGGAGUACGCCGGCAACGGUG